GCCCGUUUGGCUUAGUGGUACAGCGUCUCACUCGUAUCCCUUAUACGCUAUGAGAAGAUCCUCGGUUCGAUUCCGAGAAUGGGCA
Molecule: non-coding RNA, 85 nt
Organism: Delitschia confertaspora ATCC 74209
Lineage: Eukaryota; Fungi; Ascomycota; Dothideomycetes; Pleosporales; Delitschiaceae
Source: the annotation of a GenBank genome assembly